CCGGGGGCUUACGCCCCCGGCUAACCAGUGUCGCCCCUUCGGGGCU
Molecule: small RNA, 46 nt
Filed under: Caulifigura coniformis
Lineage: Bacteria; Pseudomonadati; Planctomycetota; Planctomycetia; Planctomycetales; Planctomycetaceae
Description: Acido-Lenti-1 RNA
Rfam family: Acido-Lenti-1 RNA
Source: Rfam by way of RNAcentral